AGAGAGAUGGAGGAGGAGACAGAGGACAAGGCUGUUAUUUAAGUUUCUUGAUGACGUCACCAUUCUGAAAUUACUCCCACGAGAGACGGAGGAUGACGGGGAGGGAGGGCAUAUGGAGUGAUGCAUGUUCUGUAAAGCCGUCCCCUCCCCUUCCACACUAUCAUGACCCAUAACAUCUGACCCCUGACCUAAGCCUACCUUAAUGGGGGGCCAGGGAUUUCAUUGUAAAGCAAUGAACUCACCCCACUUCCCUCCUAGCCCCACAGAAAUCAGUCACCAUAGAACAUAAUAACCACCAACAUAAACACAAUCAAACUACAGAGAAAAAUAUAUUUUUUAAAUCACUGUAUUAUAGAAUAGUAAAAUAUAUUGGUCAAUAAAUGAAAAAGAGAAUGCUAGGAAUCCUAAGGUGUGUUGAUUAGCAGAACUGAGAGAAGGCUAGGAAUCCUAAGGUGUGUUGAUUAGCAGAACUGAGAGAAGGCUAGGAAUCCUAAGGUGUGUUGAUUAGCAGAACUGAGAGAACGCUAGGAAUCCUAAGGUGUGUUGAUUAGCAGAACUGAGAGAAGGCUAGGAAUCCUAAGGUGUGUUGAUUAGCAGAACUGAGAGAACGCUAGGAAUCCUAAGGUGUGUUGAUUAGCAGAACUGAGAGAACGCUAGGAAUCCUAAGGUGUGUUGAUUAGCAGAACUGAGAGAAGGCUAGGAAUCCUAAGGUGUGUUGAUUAGCAGAACUGAGAGAACGCUAGGAAUCCUAAGGUGUGUUGAUUAGCAGAACUGAGAGAAGGCUAGGAAUCCUAAGGUGUGUUGAUUAGCAGAACUGAGAGAACGCUAGGAAUCCUAAGGUGUGUUGAUUAGCAGAACUGAGAGAACGCUAGGAAUCCUAAGGUGUGUUGAUUAGCAGAACUGAGAGAAGGCUAGGAAUCCUAAGGUGUGUUGAUUAGCAGAACUGAGAGAACGCUAGGAAUCCUAAGGUGUGUUGAUUAGCAGAACUGAGAGAACGCUAGGAAUCCUAAGGUGUGUUGAUUAGCAGAACUGAGAGAACACUAGGAAUCCUAAGGUGUGUUGAUUAGCAGAACUGAGAGAACACUAGGAAUCCUAAGGUGUGUUGAUUAGCAGAACUGAGAGAACGCUAGGAAUCCUAAGGUGUGUUGAUUAGCAGAACUGAGAGAAGGCUAGGAAUCCUAAGGUGUGUUGAUUAGCAGAACUAAGAGAACGCUAGGAAUCCUAAAACGUUGGCUUCAGAUAAAAUACGUGACCUAAAUGAGUGACUAGAUUGAGAAAUUUGGUGCACACACACAUGUUUAAUGCCCCUUUUAAUAAUAA
Molecule: long non-coding RNA, 1320 nt
Organism: Oncorhynchus keta (chum salmon)
Lineage: Eukaryota; Metazoa; Chordata; Actinopteri; Salmoniformes; Salmonidae
Exons: 3
Source: RefSeq, a predicted model, not a curated record